AUGCAGCUGACAUUGUCUUCUUCGCAGGACUAUUGCUGCGGUCCCCAGAGCCUUCACCCUUCUGUGCACAAUGGCAACUCUUAAGGAAAAACUCAUUGCACCAGUUGCUGAGGAAGAGGUAAUGGUCCCAAACAAUAAGAUUACUGUAGUAGGUGUUGGACAAGUUGGUAUGGCAUGUGCUAUCAACAUUCUGGGAAAGUCUCUGGCUGACGAAUUUGCUCUUGUGGAUGUUUUGGAAGAUAAGCUUAAAGGAGAAAUGAUGGAUCUGCAGCAUGGGAGUUUACUUCUUCAGACACCUAAGAUCAUGGCAGAUUAAGAUUACUCCGUGAUCGCCAAUUCUAAGAUUGUGGUGGUAACUGCAGGAGUCCGUCAGCAAGAGGGGGAGAGUCAUCUCAGUCAGGUGCAGAGAAAUGUUAAUGUCUUCAAAUUCAUCAUAUUGUCAAGUAUAGUCCUUAAUUAUAUUAUAAUUGUGGUUUCCAACCCAGUGGACAUUCUUACAUAUGUUACCUGAAAACUAAGUGGAUUACCUAAGCAUUGUGUGAUUGGAAGUGGGUGUAAUCUGGACUCUGCUAGAAUUCGCUACCUUAUGGCUGAAAAACUUGGCAUUCAUCCCAGCAGCUGCCAUGGGUGGAUUUUGAAAGAACAUGGCGACUCAAGUGGUUGUAUGGAGUGGAGUGAAUGGCAGGUGUUUCUCUCCAGAAAUUGAAUCCAGAUAGUGAAAAUUGGAAGGAAGUGCCUAAGAUGUUGGUUGAGUGCCUAUAGUCAUCAAACUUAAGGGAUAUACCAACUGGGUUACUGGAUUAAGUGUAGCUAAUCUUAUUGAAUCUAUGUUGAAAAAUCUAUUCAGGAUUCAUCCAGUCUCAGCAAUGGCAUUGAGAAUGAUGUCUUCCCGAGCCUUCCCUGUAUCUUCAAUGCUCAGGGAUUAACGAGUGUUAUUAACCAGAAGCUAAAGGACAAUGAGGUUGCUCAGCUCAAGAAAAGUGUGGAGACAUCUGUGGGACAUCCAGAAGGAUCUAAAAGACCUGUGACUAUGCAGUUCAAAGUUGUAGAAAUUUAAAAAUUACAAUAUGAUUAACCCCAAGCCUUCAGUUUUCAUUCAUGUACAUGAAUCACAGUGGCUUUUCUCUUCCUUAAUAUGUGAAUUUGGGCUUACAGAACCAAAGUCCAUGCUUGGUUUAAUGCUUGCAAUAUGAGUCCUUGAACAAAUAAAAUUAACUUUAGUAGUGUGAAAAAAAAAA
RNA transcript from Carlito syrichta (Philippine tarsier), 1238 nucleotides. It is a transcript of the gene named L-lactate dehydrogenase B chain pseudogene, with no coding region annotated. The transcript has a single exon. The record is from RefSeq and is a predicted model, not a curated record. Lineage: Eukaryota; Metazoa; Chordata; Mammalia; Primates; Tarsiidae.